RNAcentral lists this ribosomal RNA (500 nucleotides) under unidentified low G+C gram-positive bacterium. RNAcentral describes it as "bacterial SSU rRNA". It matches the Rfam family "Bacterial small subunit ribosomal RNA", at positions 28 to 508 of the family's 1533-position model. Lineage: Bacteria; Bacillati; Bacillota. The record is from RNAcentral.
GAUGAACGCUGGCGGCGUGCCUAAUACAUGCAAGUCGAGCGAAUGGAUUAAAAGCUUGCUCUCAAGAAGUUAGCGGCGGACGGGUGAGUAACACGUGGGUAACCUGCCCAUAAGACUGGGAUAACUCCGGGAAACCGGGGCUAAUACCGGAUAACAUUUUGAACUGCAUGGUUCGAAAUUGAAAGGCGGCUUCGGCUGUCACUUAUGGAUGGACCCGCGUCGCAUUAGCUAGUUGGUGAGGUAACGGCUCACCAAGGCAACGAUGCGUAGCCGACCUGAGAGGGUGAUCGGCCACACUGGGACUGAGACACGGCCCAGACUCCUACGGGAGGCAGCAGUAGGGAAUCUUCCGCAAUGGACGAAAGUCUGACGGAGCAACGCCGCGUGAGUGAUGAAGGCUUUCGGGUCGUAAAACUCUGUUGUUAGGGAAGGACAAGUGCUAGUUGAAUAAGCUGGCACCUUGACGGUACCUAACCAGAAAGCCACGGCUAACUACGUGC